UUAUUAGUUUGGGUGAAAGGGGGAUUGUUAGAAGUGAACAAUGCUAAUUCGGCUACACAAGCAAUCUUCAGAAAGUGGUGGAGGAGUGGUGAAGCCCUUGCCAGUGGAUGCUGUGACGGUUGCAUGCCCCGAUCACCUGGUACUUUCCGAUCUCCCUGUAGCUAAGGGUAUUGGAGCAGCUACUGCAGCUACUGUUGUAAAAACUGUGGGUCGCAGAUCCAGACGCCAGCUUGGUGAACGAGCCCAUUUCUGUGUCCGCUGUGACUUCCCGAUUGCUAUCUAUGGACACCUGAGCCCCUGCGAGCAUGCGUUCUGUCUUGAUUGCGCCAGGAGUGAUUCAAUCUGCUAUCUGUAAGGAGAUAUCUGAUCUUGCUUAUUCAUUAACAUUCACAUAAGCUACCUAAUUUCACUGUGAUUAUUUGUUGCAAUAGUCAGGUCCAAGUUUGAAUCUCACAUUCAUGAGAACCACACCGACCUUCUACAGCCAAAUUCAGAGGAGAAUGGUAAUGAAUCAGAGGUUCAAAGUACCAAACAACAUUCAGCUUCAGAUUCCAUAGUUCGAGCUUCCUCUAGGCUAGUCAUACCUGGAUCAAAUUCUCAGUUUCUUGAUUCUGAAGACAAAGCUCAUAGGCAGCAGCCUAGAGAACAGCCAUCUAGGCCAAUGAUGCAACCAAGACCUCCUUAUUUUGGUCAAGCUCAAAAUUAUUCAUCAGAUCCUCAGCCGGACAGCAAUCGUCCCCCUGGCAUUGACCGGCCUGGCAUCCAGAAUCAUUUCCAGCAAAGCAUGCAGGGUGGCCCACAACAAGAAUCCAACCAGUUUUCAGACAAGCAGCAGGGAAAUUUAUCUGAGACCCCAAUACCUGAAUACCCGCCUAUGCAUCCUAUUCAAUCUCCUAAUUUUGUUGUACCAAUGAAUUCUAA
RNAcentral lists this unclassified non-coding RNA (921 nucleotides) under Hevea brasiliensis (rubber tree). Lineage: Eukaryota; Viridiplantae; Streptophyta; Magnoliopsida; Malpighiales; Euphorbiaceae. The record is from RNAcentral.